AACCUUGACGAUGACGACAUGGUGGCAUACCUGCUUGCAUGACUUGACAUCGAGUACACCCCUUUGGUUACCUCUGUUACUACUGACCUUAGUCGUAAUGGUAAGGUUUCCGUGAGUGAUCUUUACUCGCAGAUGGUGAGCUUCGACG
Molecule: non-coding RNA, 148 nt
Organism: Brachypodium distachyon (stiff brome)
Lineage: Eukaryota; Viridiplantae; Streptophyta; Magnoliopsida; Poales; Poaceae
Source: Rfam